Molecule: long non-coding RNA, 1047 nt
Filed under: Crocodylus porosus (Australian saltwater crocodile)
Lineage: Eukaryota; Metazoa; Chordata; Crocodylia; Crocodylidae
Description: lncRNA (ENSCPRG00005005548.1)
Source: RNAcentral
UUGUGGGGUGCCAGGGAAUUCGAGCGGGUGCGACGCUGCCGAGCGGCAGGCGGCCAAAGCCGUGAUGUCGCUUUGCAGCUGCCGUCUCGUUUGCUGACGGGAGGACGGGGCCAGGGCAGGGAAGCGGGGCAGGCCAGCCUCGCCGGGGCCAGGCCUCACCCACGUGCCAGCAGCUCCGGCCCACGUCCUGGAAGCCUGAACGGUGACGGCCUGGCCUGUAGCAGCUCCUUUUGCUCCGGUCGUUUCGCCCACUUCGGCGUUUUCCGUCCAUUUGCUAGCUGGUUCCUGCACUUCAGAAAGCAGAACAGGAAGCAAGUGUCUGAGGCAAUCGGGAAGUCCACCCCAUCAGAACCAGGGAAUCAUUCGGCUCUGAAGGAAGUAACUAGCAAAACGCCUACAGCAGCUUCUGGUUUGCGUCCUCGUGACCGGGCUGAGCUCCUCCGUCCCCGGGGGGUCCUCCGGCCGAGGCUGCCGGGUCGGGGCCAACCAGUCCCACUCGGCCGGUGCAAGCCGGUCUGGAACCGGACAGCCCCGUCUCCGGCCCCGUUGGGCCGCGAGCCCCCGGGGACGAGCCACCGGCUGCUGAGCGCGCUCUGCCCUCGCCGAGCGACUGAUGCUGCUCCCGCGGCCCGGGCCCUUGCUGGCUGCAGAGCAGGUGGCAGCGAGUCUUUUGUGACUUGCUCUGCUCUGCCUGUUCCCCCACUGGCGCCGGGAAAGCUGCGCCAGGGCAGGACGGGCUUUCCUCCAGCAUCCAGGCGAGGAAAAGCGGCGUCCAAAGCGGUCAGGAGCGUAGCCCCGCGGUCAGUCACCUCUUCCGCAGAGACCGAGGUGGAGCAGGGCUGCAGGGACACGCCGCCCGGCCCUUCCCCGUGCGGGGGGCCGUCUCUCCCGGGGUCCCGUGUCCUGUCCGGUCUCACGCUCCGGUGCUUCGGGAUGGAAGGAGAACGACCGUCCUGCAGAGCGUCGUCGUUAAUGGAGGCCAGGGCUACCGUCAGAUGCCUUCGAUCUGCCCGUGCGUCUGUCUCCUGGUUCGGCCUCGUGGUUUGA